Molecule: long non-coding RNA, 217 nt
Filed under: Trifolium pratense (red clover)
Lineage: Eukaryota; Viridiplantae; Streptophyta; Magnoliopsida; Fabales; Fabaceae
Description: long non-coding RNA (TPRA_LNC009560)
Source: RNAcentral
GAUGAUGAAGAGGGAAAUAAUUGACUCUUUUUGAGCUAAUUGGUUUUUAAUUUCAUAUUUUGAUGUUUCGAACAAUUUAAAUUACAUUUAAAGUGUGGUGUGAUCUUUUUUAUGUUUAAUUAUUUGUUUUAACAAUAUAACUAUAUUAUUUGAUAUAUAUAAUUAUAUUUAAAAAAAAAUUAUAGGACAGUACCCGUACCUUAGUUUUUCUAAAAAU